This 305-nucleotide ribosomal RNA is filed under the name uncultured bacterium. Its description in RNAcentral is "bacterial SSU rRNA". It matches the Rfam family "Bacterial small subunit ribosomal RNA", at positions 335 to 637 of the family's 1533-position model. The record is from RNAcentral.
GUUCCUACGGGGGGCAGCAGUGAGGAAUAUUGGUCAAUGGGCGCGAGCCUGAACCAGCCAAGUCGCGUGAGGGAUGACGGUCCUACGGAUUGUAAACCUCUUUUGCCGGGGAGCAAGCGUGCGUUCGUGAACGCGCGUCGAGAGUACCCGGAGAAAAAGCAUCGGCUAACUCCGUGCCAGCAGCCGCGGUAAUACGGAGGAUGCGAGCGUUAUCCGGAUUUACUGGGUUUAAAGGGUGCGUAGGCGGAGUGUCAAGUCAGCGGUAAAAUUUCGGGGCUCAACCCCGUCGUGCCGUUGAAACUGAC